AGCGAACGCUGGCGGCAGGCUUAACACAUGCAAGUCGAACGGGCGUAGCAAUACGUCAGUGGCAGACGGGUGAGUAACGCGUGGGAACGUACCUUUUGGUUCGGAACAACCCAGGGAAACUUGGGCUAAUACCGGAUAAGCCCUUACGGGGAAAGAUUUAUCGCCGAAAGAUCGGCCCGCGUCUGAUUAGCUAGUUGGUGAGGUAACGGCUCACCAAGGCGACGAUCAGUAGCUGGUCUGAGAGGAUGAUCAGCCACAUUGGGACUGAGACACGGCCAAACUCCUACGGGAGGCAGCAGUGGGGAAUAUUGGACAAUGGGCGCAAGCCUGAUCCAGCCAUGCCGCGUGAGUGAUGAAGGCCCUAGGGUUGUAAAGCUCUUUUGUGCGGGAAGAUAAUGACGGUACCGCAAGAAUAAGCCCCCGGCUAACUUCGUGCCAGCCGCCGCCGUAAU
Molecule: ribosomal RNA, 452 nt
Filed under: uncultured bacterium
Lineage: Bacteria
Description: bacterial SSU rRNA
Rfam family: Bacterial small subunit ribosomal RNA
Source: RNAcentral